UUAAACAAUUGAAAUCACUUUGUCUCUUCUCCAAAAGCAAGAAACUCUAUCGUUUCCAUUCCAAAACCCCCAAAUUAGAUCAAACCAAAUUAUCUCAAACUCUAUCAACUCUCUUUUGCUCUCAUCGGUAUUGCAAAAAUUAUCCUAAUGGAAAGGAUAAAACUGCAACAUAUCUCCCAAAGACUGGAAGUGAGGUCAUUAUGCCUUUACAAGUAUUUUGGAAAUAUGCUCCUCUGGUUGUAAUGUCUACUAAGAUGCCCAAUUUCUUAGAGUUUAAUAUAUUCUCUUUUUGUUUAUUUUUUAGGACUCUUGGGUGUAAUGUCUACUCUUAAAAAGUUGAUGAUAAUUCUUAUGUAGAGUGCAAUAUGAUAUGCAGUUUAUAUUUUUGGUA
Nicotiana tabacum (common tobacco) is the source of this 391-nucleotide long non-coding RNA. RefSeq lists it as uncharacterized. Lineage: Eukaryota; Viridiplantae; Streptophyta; Magnoliopsida; Solanales; Solanaceae. The record is from RefSeq and is a predicted model, not a curated record.